UAGGGAAUCUUCGGCAAUGGGGGGAACCCUGACCGAGCAACGCCGCGUGAGUGAACAAGGUUUUCGGAUCGUAAAGCUCUGUUGUUAAGGAAGAACGAGUGUGAGAAUGGAAAGUUCAUGCUGUGACGGUACUUAACCAGAAAGGGACGGCUAACUACGUGCCAGCAGCCGCGGUAAUACGUAGGUCCCGAGCGUUGUCCGGAUUUAUUGGGCGUAAAGCGAGCGCAGGCGGUUAGAAAAGUCUGAAGUGAAAGGCAGUGGCUCAACCAUUGUAGGCUUUGGAAACUGUUUAACUUGAGUGCAGAAGGGGAGAGUGGAAUUCCAUGUGUAGCGGUGAAAUGCGUAGAUAUAUGGAGGAACACCGGUGGCGAAAGCGGCUCUCUGGUCUGUAACUGACGCUGAGGCUCGAAAGCGUGGGGAGCGAACAGG
Molecule: ribosomal RNA, 429 nt
Filed under: Bacteroidota bacterium
Lineage: Bacteria; Pseudomonadati; Bacteroidota
Description: Bacteroidetes bacterium partial 16S ribosomal RNA
Rfam family: Bacterial small subunit ribosomal RNA
Source: RNAcentral